GGCACUACGGUGCUGAAGCAACAAAUGCCCUGCUUCCAGGAAAAGCCUCUAAGCAUCAGGUAACAUCAAAUCGUACCCCAAACCGACACAGGUGGUCAGGUAGAGAAUACCAAGGCGCUUGAGAGAACUCGGGUGAAGGAACUAGGCAAAAUGGUGCCGUAACUUCGGGAGAAGGCACGCUGAUAUGUAGGUGAAGCGACUUGCUCGUGGAGCUGAAAUCAGUCGAAGAUACCAGCUGGCUGCAACUGUUUAUUAAAAACACAGCACUGUGCAAACACGAAAGUGGACGUAUACGGUGUGACGCCUGCCCGGUGCCGGAAGGUUAAUUGAUGGGGUCAGCGCAAGCGAAGCUCUUGAUCGAAGCCCCGGUAAACGGCGGCCGUAACUAUAACGGUCCUAAGGUAGCGAAAUUCCUUGUCGGGUAAGUUCCGACCUGCACGAAUGGCGUAAUGAUGGCCAGGCUGUCUCCACCCGAGACUCAGUGAAAUUGAACUCGCUGUGAAGAUGCAGUGUACCCGCGGCAAGACGGAAAGACCCCGUGAACCUUUACUAUAGCUUGACACUGAACAUUGAGCCUUGAUGUGUAGGAUAGGUGGGAGGCUUUGAAGUGUGGACGCCAGUCUGCAUGGAGCCGACCUUGAAAUACCACCCUUUAAUGUUUGAUGUUCUAACGUUGACCCGUGAUCCGGGUUGCGGACAGUGUCUGGUGGGUAGUUUGACUGGGGCGGUCUCCUCCUAAAGAGUAACGGAGGAGCACGAAGGUUGGCUAAUCCUGGUCGGACAUCAGGAGGUUAGUGCAAUGGCAUAAGCCAGCUUGACUGCGAGCGUGACGGCGCGAGCAGGUGCGAAAGCAGGUCAUAGUGAUCCGGUGGUUCUGAAUGGAAGGGCCAUCGCUCAACGGAUAAAAGGUACUCCGGGGAUAACAGGCUGAUACCGCCCAAGAGUUCAUAUCGACGGCGGUGUUUGGCACCUCGAUGUCGGCUCAUCACAUCCUGGGGCUGAAGUAGGUCCCAAGGGUAUGGCUGUUCGCCAUUUAAAGUGGUACGCGAGCUGGGUUUAGAACGUCGUGAGACAGUUCGGUCCCUAUCUGCCGUGGGCGCUGGAGAACUGAGGGGGGCUGCUCCUAGUACGAGAGGACCGGAGUGGACGCAUCACUGGUGUUCGGGUUGUCAUGCCAAUGGCACUGCCCGGUAGCUAAAUGCGGAAGAGAUAAGUGCUGAAAGCAUCUAAGCACGAAACUUGCCCCGAGAUGAGUUCUCCCUGACUCCUUGAGAGUCCUGAAGGAACGUUGAAGACGACGACGUUGAUAGGCCGGGUGUGUAAGCGCAGCGAUGCGUUGAGCUAACCGGUACUAAUGAACCGUGAGGCUUAACCUU
RNAcentral lists this ribosomal RNA (1376 nucleotides) under Escherichia coli. Its description in RNAcentral is "partial 23S ribosomal RNA". It matches the Rfam family "Bacterial large subunit ribosomal RNA", at positions 1573 to 2925 of the family's 2925-position model. Lineage: Bacteria; Pseudomonadati; Pseudomonadota; Gammaproteobacteria; Enterobacterales; Enterobacteriaceae. The record is from RNAcentral.